UCAUCUCCGGGGGUAGAGCACUGUUUCGGCUAGGGGGCCAUCCCGGCUUACCAACCCGAUGCAAACUGCGAAUACCGGAGAAUGUUAUCACGGGAGACACACGGCGGGUGCUAACGUCCGUCGUGAAGAGGGAAACAACCCAGACCGCCAGCUAAGGUCCCAAAGUCAUGGUUAAGUGGGAAACGAUGUGGGAAGGCCCAGACAGCCAGGAUGUUGGCUUAGAAGCAGCCAUCAUUUAAAGAAAGCGUAAUAGCUCACUGGUCGAGUCGGCCUGCGCGGAAGAUGUAACGGGGCUAAACCAUGCACCGAAGCUGCGGCAGCGACGCUCAGGCGUUGUUGGGUAGGGGAGCGUUCUGUAAGCCUGUGAAGGUGGCCUGUGAGGGUUGCUGGAGGUAUCAGAAGUGCGAAUGCUGACAUAAGUAACGAUAAAGCGGGUGAAAAGCCCGCUCGCCGGAAGACCAAGGGUUCCUGUCCAACGUUAAUCGGGGCAGGGUGAGUCGACCCCUAAGGCGAGGCCGAAAGGCGUAGUCGAUGGGAAACGGGUUAAUAUUCCCGUACUUGGUGUUACUGCGAAGGGGGGACGGAGAAGGCUAUGUUGGCCGGGCGACGGUUGUCCCGGUUUAAGCGUGUAGGUGUGUGUUCCAGGUAAAUCCGGUUCACUUUAACACUGAGGCGUGACGACGAGGCACUACGGUGCUGAAGCAACAAAUGCCCUGCUUCCAGGAAAAGCCUCUAAGCAUCAGGUAACAUCAAAUCGUACCCCAAACCGACACAGGUGGUCAGGUAGAGAAUACCAAGGCGCUUGAGAGAACUCGGGUGAAGGAACUAGGCAAAAUGGUGCCGUAACUUCGGGAGAAGGCACGCUGACACGUAGGUGAAGUGAUUUACUCAUGGAGCUGAAGUCAGUCGAAGAUACCAGCUGGCUGCAACUGUUUAUUAAAAACACAGCACUGUGCAAACACGAAAGUGGACGUAUACGGUGUGACGCCUGCCCGGUGCCGGAAGGUUAAUUGAUGGGGUCAGCGCAAGCGAAGCUCCUGAUCGAAGCCCCGGUAAACGGCGGCCGUAACUAUAACGGUCCUAAGGUAGCGAAAUUCCUUGUCGGGUAAGUUCCGACCUGCACGAAUGGCGUAAUGAUGGCCAGGCUGUCUCCACCCGAGACUCAGUGAAAUUGAACUCGCUGUGAAGAUGCAGUGUACCCGCGGCAAGACGGAAAGACCCCGUGAACCUUUACUAUAGCUUGACACUGAACAUUGAGCCUUGAUGUGUAGGAUAGGUGGGAGGCUUUGAAGCGUGGACGCCAGUCUGCGUGGAGCCGACCUUGAAAUACCACCCUUUAAUGUUUGAUGUUCUAACGUGGACCCGUUACCCGGGUUGCGGACAGUGUCUGGUGGGUAGUUUGACUGGGGCGGUCUCCUCCUAAAGAGUAACGGAGGAGCACGAAGGUUGGCUAAUCCUGGUCGGACAUCAGGAGGUUAGUGCAAUGGCAUAAGCCAGCUUGACUGCGAGCGUGACGGCGCGAGCAGGUGCGAAAGCAGGUCAUAGUGAUCCGGUGGUUCUGAAUGGAAGGGCCAUCGCUCAACGGAUAAAAGGUACUCCGGGGAUAACAGGCUGAUACCGCCCAAGAGUUCAUAUCGACGGCGGUGUUUGGCACCUCGAUGUCGGCUCAUCACAUCCUGGGGCUGAAGUAGGUCCCAAGGGUAUGGCUGUUCGCCAUUUAAAGUGGUACGCGAGCUGGGUUUAGAACGUCGUGAGACAGUUCGGUCCCUAUCUGCCGUGGGCGCUGGAGAACUGAGGGGGGCUGCUCCUAGUACGAGAGGACCGGAGUGGACGCAUCACUGGUGUUCGGGUUGUCAUGCCAAUGGCACUGCCCGGUAGCUAAAUGCGGAAGAGAUAAGUGCUGAAAGCAUCUAAGCACGAAACUUGCCCCGA
Molecule: ribosomal RNA, 1932 nt
Filed under: Salmonella enterica
Lineage: Bacteria; Pseudomonadati; Pseudomonadota; Gammaproteobacteria; Enterobacterales; Enterobacteriaceae
Also listed under: 1 other name
Description: partial 23S ribosomal RNA
Rfam family: Bacterial large subunit ribosomal RNA
Source: RNAcentral